This 853-nucleotide ribosomal RNA is filed under the name Campylobacter jejuni. Its description in RNAcentral is "bacterial SSU rRNA". It matches the Rfam family "Bacterial small subunit ribosomal RNA", at positions 589 to 1439 of the family's 1533-position model. The record is from RNAcentral. Lineage: Bacteria; Pseudomonadati; Campylobacterota; Epsilonproteobacteria; Campylobacterales; Campylobacteraceae.
CUCUUGUGAAAUCUAAUGGCUUAACCAUUAAACUGCUUGGGAAACUGAUAGUCUAGAGUGAGGGAGAGGUAGAUGGAAUUGGUGGUGUAGGGGUAAAAUCCGUAGAUAUCACCAAGAAUACCCAUUGCGAAGGCGAUCUGCUGGAACUCAACUGACGCUAAGGCGCGAAAGCGUGGGGAGCAAACAGGAUUAGAUACCCUGGUAGUCCACGCCCUAAACGAUGUACACUAGUUGUUGGGAUGCUAGUCAUCUCAGUAAUGCAGCUAACGCAUUAAGUGUACCGCCUGGGGAGUACGGUCGCAAGAUUAAAACUCAAAGGAAUAGACGGGGACCCGCACAAGCGGUGGAGCAUGUGGUUUAAUUCGAAGAUACGCGAAGAACCUUACCUGGGCUUGAUAUCCUAAGAACCUUAUAGAGAUAUGAGGGUGCUAGCUUGCUAGAACUUAGAGACAGGUGCUGCACGGCUGUCGUCAGCUCGUGUCGUGAGAUGUUGGGUUAAGUCCCGCAACGAGCGCAACCCACGUAUUUAGUUGCUAACGGUUCGGCCGAGCACUCUAAAUAGACUGCCUUCGUAAGGAGGAGGAAGGUGUGGACGACGUCAAGUCAUCAUGGCCCUUAUGCCCAGGGCGACACACGUGCUACAAUGGCAUAUACAAUGAGACGCAAUACCGCGAGGUGGAGCAAAUCUAUAAAAUAUGUCCCAGUUCGGAUUGUUCUCUGCAACUCGAGAGCAUGAAGCCGGAAUCGCUAGUAAUCGUAGAUCAGCCAUGCUACGGUGAAUACGUUCCCGGGUCUUGUACUCACCGCCCGUCACACCAUGGGAGUUGAUUUCACUCGAAGCCGGAAUACUAAA